GUCUUUAAUGAUAAUCACUUUAAGUUUCCAGGUAUUGUAUGCAGUUCGGCACACGGCAACGUUACUGGUGCUAAGACUGGCCUAGCUAGCGUUAGCUAUGGUUAUUCAGAGCUAGCUAUCUUAGCAACCCUGGCCUAGCAACUUUGGUGGUAAGAAGUCAGCCGGUCACCUGUUGUCUGGAAAGACAUUAACGAUAUGUAUUGAACCCAGCAACCUGCUAUUAUGAAUAUUCAUAAAUAUGAAUUUCAUUUCUAAAUGAGCCCAAUCGUAAAGUAUCAAUCAAUGCUGUGUUCUCUAACGGAAUCCCAUUACACGCCAGGUUCCUCGCUAAUGUCAACGUUCUGACUUGGCUGUAAGGGAGACAAAGGGAUUGAAUAAGAAAGAGACAAGUUAAGUUGUGAUGGAGCAGCCACCUGGGAGCUUAGAUGAUCUACAGCCUCAAGACCUCUCCACAUCCAGCAUCCCCGCUGGGAUCGACCUGACCAGGAAAGGUGAGGAAUGCGUCCUCAACAGCCCGACCCUCGAUGCUGUGCAUAUGGUAAAGAGCCCCAGCUGGUACCCAAACCUGGGGACCAGCAACCCUGGAUUAGUCUUCUCUGAGACUGGCUCCUCAGAGACCACUCUCCAAUCAGGGGAACUAAUUCAACCAGACAAUGCCUUCUCCCACACUACAGUCACCCUCUCCUACGUAAGCAGGUCUCGCGUCUUCUCCGCUCACGACUCCCUGUCUCGGCGUUCGCCCCUGUAUGGUGUGCCGCCUAUUAGCAAGUUGUCCCUCCACUCUCCUUGUGACUUAGAUAUUGGGCUUGAGGAGACUGGCUAUACACUGAACCAGCAUUACUUGGAGCAGGUUGAUGGGCCCAUGGACCUUGCCACUCAGACGCACCUUUUUCAGUCAUUGGCUCAGGUGGGACCAGAGAAAGAUGGGGGAGUGUGCCUAGCGCAGGAGCCUCAGGAGUUAAUUUCUAGUGGCAGAGAAAAGCAUGGAAACGGUAAGGAGGAUCACAGCCUUUCUCUGAAAAAGAGUGGGGGUUUGGAAAAUGGACAGGGUGGUAGCUGCUCCAGUUCAGGUGUUUGUGCCAAAAUCUCACCGGAGACGCUCACCUCUGCCACAGGGGAGGAUGAGGAGAGGGGCAGCUCUGAGGUGCUCUCUCUCACGUGUAAGAAAUGGGACCCAGUAGUCGUCUCGGGCAGUGUGGGUGCUAGAGAACUGUCUUCACAAGGCAGGGAGUACAUCAGUCCUCUGGAGGACCCCGUCUCCCCCUCCGCUACCUCGCUGGACAAUGUGGAGGAUGUGUUCGUCCUGCCUCAGGCCUCAAGCUCACCCAGCGGUGAUAACUCUUAUCUCGAGACAUUUGAUGUGGUUGCCUGGGAUGGCUUGAGGACAGAGGGGGCCAUUCAGCCAUGCUGUGGCAUCAGCGAUCGCACCACAAGGUUAGAUUCAAGCGCCGAAAAUAAGCAGACCGCCAGUAGACGGAAGACGGUGUUGGAGCCUUUGAUUGACUUGACGGAUGAUGUUUGUGUGUCAAAUGUUUCCAAAAACGAACCCAAGGCCUUCACUCCUCACAUGAACGAGAAUGCUAAGGUACUUCAGAGAACUUUAAAAGAAAAGAAACUGCCUGUGCGGCCCGGCAGAGGUACACGGUUAGACACUAUUGUUAUGAACAUAAAUUCUAGCCGGUAUAAAGUGUCGGGAUGCAUACGUACCAGUAAGAAAGCAAAGGCUUCCCAGUCGCCAGCUGGUGAGUCUAAGUUAGCCAGUCCUCAGAGGAAUAACACCCUGUCAGCAGAAAAAAGGGGAGGCCGAGUGAAAGCGCCUUUCUCUGUGAUAACGAGGAAACAAAAAGCAAGUUCAAUGAAAAGGGGUCAAACUAAUAACAUGAACACUGACGGUUGCAAAGACUCUACCUCUGAUUCUGAAAUCAAUCAUUCUAAAAAGUCUAAUGACAGCACUUCUCCAAAAAGCCCUCUGUUUUCUUUGCACAAUAAGUCAAAGAGAGGACCAGAGGAUGUUUACCACCCUGCACAUGAACCAAGGUCAAAGAAGAAACCCUCAUCGCCCUCAAGUCCUCAGUCUGAUGUGCAUGAAAACUCAAAGGAGCCCGAGCAUCUAUCCCCCCCUAACCCUUCAGUGGAAAUUCAUACUGCAAGGCCUUUCCCACCACAAUCAUCAACAUCUCCAAAGAAAAGCCAAGGCAAAGGCAAGGCCAAAGGUAGCAAACCAUCUCCCACUUCCAAGACCAAGGGGGCUGGUACUCGCAAGAGAAGGCAAAAGAAACUCACAUGGAGCCAGUAUCCCUCCAUUUUCUCCCCGAACGAGCCGGAGAUCAAGUUAAAGUACGCCAACCACAAGGAGGAAAAAAGGGACUACAGGUUAGACGGGUUCUCUCCAUUCAUCCGUGUUGAGCGUCAGCAGUCAUCGUCAUCACUGUGUACUAUAAUCAACUAUCCCGAGGAGGUUAGGACACAACACAAGAGGGGCCAGCAGCAGCAGGUUCCCCCCUGUGGGUUCAUGUCUGCAGUCGUACCCAGCACGUCCUGUCUGCAGCUGGGACGGGCGUCCACUCAAAGCCGGCAGCAGCGCGCUCUCGUCUGCUGCCUAUGUGGACAGGCGGCUAAUGCCAUGGAUUUGGGGGACCUCCAUGGCCCCUAUUACCCAGAAGGGUACCAGCCAGGCACCAAAAAACUAGCCAGCAUGUCUGGCCUCAAAGAGGAUGAGGACGGCUACAGCGACACAGACUCUUCGUCCUGCAGUGUCAGAGGCAGGGGGAGGAAGUCUGCCGUUCCACCCGCACCUGGGCUCCUCAAGCCAGCUGCUCAGCUGAAGCAGAAGGUUCUGGAGAACUACCGGUGGACGGCUAACAACGCUGGCAGCCCUGCAGCUAAGCGGGCUCGGUCAGAUGGAGGCUCUGCUGAUAUGGAGGACUGGUACAGCCCCCCUGUGCUUCCUCUGGAGCCCUGUGAAUACUGGCUCCACGAAGACUGCGGCAUCUGGUCCGCAGGCGUGUUCCUGGUGAAGGGCAAAGUCUACGGACUGGAGGAGGCUGUCAAGGUGGCCGCGGAGACGAAGUGCUCAGCCUGCAGUGACCAUGGUGCGACACUGGGCUGCUUCUUCAAAGGCUGUGCCAACAAGUACCACUACAGGUGUGCUCUGGAGUCAAAGGGUGCCGCCUUUGACAGACAGAACUGUCUGACCAAAGGUGGUGCGCCUGUGUGGGAUGACACGGUCGCCUCUGUCGGAGACUCUGGUGACUCUAGUCGCUGGGCCGCAGACAGGUCUCUGUUUGAUGGACUCGUUCAGCGGAGGAGAUGCCAGACCAUUUAGGGCUUUGUAAAUGAUGCUGGCUUCUUUAAGGUUGUUAAAACUUAAAAACUUAUUUUUGUUCAGGAUGUGGCAGUGAUGAUGUGUUCGCAGUUUCUUGUUAAAGACUUUGAGUUUUCUCUUAUACACGAGAGUGACCAGCUGGUCAGACAGUACACUAAAUGUGCAAAGAUCAUCGAAUGUAGGAAUGUACUGGCUUCGUUCUCUGUCAAACUGUUUCCGAUGUGUCUGAAGUUAAGUAGGUUGAAUUUGAUGUAGGUCGCUACCUUUUUGACAUGGCUCUUAAAGGUCAGGGUGGAGUCUAGAAUUACCCCUAGGUACUUAAACUCGGUUACUAAGUCUAGCCCUGUUCCCUUUACAAAUAUGUUCAAGUGUGUAUUUAUUUGGCUCCAUUGGCAUCUAGCCAUGCAGUUAUGUCUGGUUUUAUAAGGCUUACACUCUGAUAUUUACUUACUUAUUUAUUUUACAGGGACAAUGCAUACAAUCAACAGUAAAACUGUAAGUUAGCCAGAGAGGCUAAUUUUUUUUAAGAUCUUUUCUCUGAAAUUACAAAAUGUCCAAUACCAUAUUACAAAAUGUCCAAUACCAUAAGAUUAAUCAAUAGACAGACGUAUCGACAAAAACAAUUCACAUAUAAGCAAAAGAAAAGUGUACCUUUUUUUUUGUUUUUGUUUAUUAGUAUGAGCAAAUGUAUAACAUACAUCAACACUGAACAAGACAAAUGUACAUAUACACCAAACAAGCAAGCGGGACAGACGGUACAUUAAUGCUUGCACACCUGAUUGGCAACAAGCCAUUCCUUAAGGCUAUGUUUUGUAUGUGUUUUUUGUGCGUAUGUGUGAUGGUAGAGCAUUCCAUGAGUUUGCUGAAUUCACAGAAAAUGCCAAUUUGCUAAAAGAGCUUGACCUGAGAUGAGAUGAUACAAUCACCUCUUGGAGCAGAUCUAGUGUGUCUGCCACUUAGAGUGCGGUGUAUAAUAAAAGCCUCCGCUUAGUGAUACCAUGUAAACAGCAGAUGCAUCAGUGAAUUUUAAUGAGGUUCUCCCAACUUAAGAUAUAGUGCAGUGAUGGUGACUUUUUGUUUUUUAUCAAGUGUUUUUAGAACUUUUAUGGAGAAAAUUGAUAGAUUUUAAUGUUGUGUUGCUGGUUUGUGCCCAGUAGGUCAGAUGGGGGAUAAUCAUUGCAUUAAAAUACAGUUUGGCAGCCUGCAUGGUUAGAUUGUUUCUUAUAUAUCUAAAAUUCAUCAGGUUAAAUUUGAAAACCUGUCACAUGUUUUACCUGCUUUUUUAGAGAGAUUAGAAUCGAUACAAAUUCCUAAAUAUUUAAAGUCUGACACUACCUGUAGCCUUCUACCAGCAACAUAAACCUCUGGCUCCGGUGACACUUUGUAAGCCCUCUUUGUGAAGAACAUACAGUCUUUUUAAUAUUCAGGUGAAGAUGGGAAUCUGAAAGCCAUUUAGUUACAUUUGUCAUUGUGGACGUGAGCUUAAGUGCAGCUUGCUCUUUUUUUUGCGUGCACAUAAAUCACUGUAUCAUCAGCGUACAUGUGAAUAUCACACCCAUUGUAGACACCCGGCAAAUCAUUAAUGUAUAAACUGAAUAAUAAAGGUCCUAAAAUAGGGUUAACGUUGAAUCUCAUCUAAAAAAAUAUUAGAUCUCAGAAUAGAUGAUGAAACAUCACCCACUUUGACACACUGAGUUCUUCCCUCAAGGUAGAAUUUCAGCAAGGCAAGACUCUCUUGAAAGGUUACAAUUUGAGUGUAUUAAUCAGGACAUUGUGAUUAACUGUGUGAAACGCCAGGUCAAGAAAAACAGCUGCUACAACACCCCCUUUAUCCAUUUUAAGCUUCACAUUCUUGAGGAGAAAGCAAUAGAAUGUUUCAGUCGAAUGAUUAGCCCUGUAACCAAACUGCAUAGGAUGUAGCUGAUAUUGAGAGCUGUAGAGGUGUUUGGUAUUUCUCAGCAAUUUUGGAAACGGCAGAGAGAAUAUGAUUGACCGAUAAUUAGAGACAUCGGUUGAAUCUCCUGACUAAAAUCGGGUGUUACUAUGGCUGAUUUCCAUCCUAUCGGAAACACACAUUGCCUGAGAUUUGUUGACAAUGCUUGUGAUGGGGAACAAUAUUGUCAAUUCCAUAAACAUCUUUGGCCCAAGAAUUCUUGAGUGAGCCUAGAACUCUGGACAGUAGAUUCAGACACUUCCUGAAGAGAAGCAUGGUUGACCUUCAUUUACUGGUUUACAAUGAAAUUGACCAAUACUGGAGGUUGAGUUAAAGCUUCAACUGUAUCUGAAAAUAUUUAGUUCAAUACACCCAUGACCAUUGCUGUAUGUGAGUUCAUGUGAAUUGAUCUGUGAUUGUAAAGUGUGGCUGGUCGUUAUUACUUCUACUAAGCUUGAACCUUCACGUGUGGGAUGAAUCGAUGUGGCAUAUUUAACUCCUGUUCUUGUUCUCGCAGACUGUGUACUCGUAGAAGACAUUUUUUCCACAAAGUGUAAAAAGCACAAGAACAAGACAUUCAGAGCCCCUCCAGGAAACCGAUGGGAGGACAGGUGACGAUGCAGCAACCUCAUGAG
Cyclopterus lumpus (lumpfish) is the source of this 5893-nucleotide RNA transcript. It is a transcript of the gene named transcription factor 20, with no coding region annotated. Lineage: Eukaryota; Metazoa; Chordata; Actinopteri; Perciformes; Cyclopteridae. The transcript is spliced from 5 exons. The record is from RefSeq and is a predicted model, not a curated record.